Molecule: ribosomal RNA, 433 nt
Filed under: uncultured bacterium
Lineage: Bacteria
Description: partial 16S ribosomal RNA
Rfam family: Bacterial small subunit ribosomal RNA
Source: RNAcentral
AACGAACGCUGGCGGCAUGCCUAACACAUGCAAGUCGAACGAGACCUUCGGGUCUAGUGGCGCACGGGUGCGUAACGCGUGGGAACCUGCCCUUAGGUUCGGAAUAACUCCCCGAAAGGGGUGCUAAUACCGGAUAAUGUCUUCGGACCAAAGAUUUAUCGCCUUUGGAUGGUCCCGCGUUGGAUUAGCUAGUUGGUAGGGUAAAAGCCUACCAAGGCGACGAUCCAUAGCUGGUCUGAGAGGAUGAUCAGCCACACUGGGACUGAGACACGGCCCAGACUCCUACGGGAGGCAGCAGUGGGGAAUAUUGGACAAUGGGCGAAAGCAUGAUCCAGCAAUGCCGCGUGAGUGAUGAAGGCAUUAGGGUUGUAAAGCUCUUUUACCCGGGAUGAUAAUGACAGUACCGGGAGAAUAAGCUACGGCUAACUCCGUG